RNAcentral lists this ribosomal RNA (508 nucleotides) under uncultured bacterium. RNAcentral describes it as "partial 16S ribosomal RNA". It matches the Rfam family "Bacterial small subunit ribosomal RNA", at positions 28 to 523 of the family's 1533-position model. The record is from RNAcentral.
GAUGAACGCUAGCUACAGGCUUAACACAUGCAAGUCGAGGGGAAACGAUAUUGGAAGCUUGCUUCCGAUAGGCGUCGACCGGCGCACGGGUGAGUAACGCGUAUCCAACCUGCCCAUCACUUGGGGAUAACCUUGCGAAAGUAAGACUAAUACCCAAUGAUAUCCGUCGAAGACAUCUGAAGUGGAUUAAAGAUUCAUCGGGGAUGGAUGGGGAUGCGUCUGAUUAGCUUGUUGGCGGGGUAACGGCCCACCAAGGCAACGAUCAGUAGGGGUUCUGAGAGGAAGGUCCCCCACAUAGGAACUGAAACACGGUCCAAACUCCUACGGGAGGCAGCAGUGAGGAAUAUUGGUCAAUGGACGAGAGUCUGAACCAGCCAAGUAGCGUGCAGGAUGACGGCCCUAUGGGUUGUAAACUGCUUUUAUAAGGGAAUAAAGUGGGAGUCGUGACUCCUUUUGCAUGUACCUUAUGAAUAAGGACCGGCUAAUUCCGUGCCAGCCGCCGCCGUAA